AGAUGCAGUGCUCUAGGAGCAGGAUCACUAACCAACGUUUCAUGGCUGCGAGGAACACCUUCAACUCAUCAGUGUUUGAUCUAUAGAUAUGCCUUGAUUGUUGCACUCUAAUAUCAUGUACAAUAUGCUGGUUUUAUGAUGUAAAAGUGUUGGAAUUUUGUGUAUGUGGUCUUAUGUAGAUUGAGACGGCUUUGCAUGACAAUCUAGUGGAAUAGGCGGUUGAUUAUGAAUGCAAGAUUGCCGAAGCUCAGACAAUGAUGGAAGAAGCACAACAAAAAUUAAAAUUGGUUGAGGCUGAAAGAAAGCUACUUGCCGCAGAAUCUUUGGAAAAAGAAUCAGCCCGAACACACAAUUCUACAUUAUGAACAUAAGAUGAUAUUUCAGCUCGGGAAGAUGAUCUCAAGAGGCGUCAUGCUACUUUUAAGUCAGAGUGUGAUAAUAAGGAAAAUGAGAUGAAUCUUCAAAAACAAGCCUUAUAUGAGAGCCAGAAAUUGUGAAAUCGGAGGGAGGAAUUCAUCUUUGAAAGGACCAAAGAGUUAAAUUGCAUUGAGAAAUCCAACUUGGAUUUAGAAGCUGCUGCUCUAGCAACUAGAGGCCAUUGUUAAGUGCGAAACAAAGCUUGCUAAAAAAGAGCAGGAGUUGCUUGUUUUACAGGAAAAUAUUUUGUGCAAAGAUAGGAUGAAAUUCAAAGAAUUAGGGUAGCACAUGAAGCUCUUUUGAAGAAGAGAAAAAGUGAGUUGAAAAAUGAAAUUGAACAGUGGUAUCUAAAGUUGAAGAACGAAGUGGAGGCUAAAAAAUCUGCAGUUGAGGAUGUUCUCUCUGCUAGAGAAAUUGCUAUUCGUGAAAGAGAAGGUGCUGUUGAUUUGCAGCUUUCUGAGUUAGCUGAGAAGCAAGAAAACGUUGCCAACAAAAUGAAAUUGCAUGAGGAGAGAGAAUAGAGUUUAAUUUGUUCACAAAGAGAAGCAGAGGUUGCAGUUCAAAAGGAAAGUGAAAGUAUCCUUGAGCUGAAGGUAGAUCUUGAGAAAAGUAAAGCUAGUUUCGAAGAUAAGAAGAAAGAGAUUCUUCUUUUGGAAGAAAUGUUAGAAAUCAUCAUAGGAGAGAGAAAUAAGUUGCGUGUUCUAGAAAAUGAAUUUAAAGGAGAAAUUGAUGGUCUCAUAGCCCAGAAACUAGUACUUCUUGCUGAAACUGAAAGAUGGAAAGCUGAAAAGGAGAAAUUUGAGCCAGAUUGGGAACUUAUUGAAGAAAAAAUAGACGACCUAAAUAAAGAAACAGAAAAGUUUG
Molecule: long non-coding RNA, 1281 nt
Organism: Zingiber officinale
Lineage: Eukaryota; Viridiplantae; Streptophyta; Magnoliopsida; Zingiberales; Zingiberaceae
Exons: 3
Source: RefSeq, a predicted model, not a curated record